This 2795-nucleotide unclassified non-coding RNA is filed under the name Lytechinus variegatus (green sea urchin). RNAcentral describes it as "uncharacterized LOC121412286, transcript variant X2". Lineage: Eukaryota; Metazoa; Echinodermata; Echinoidea; Temnopleuroida; Toxopneustidae. The record is from RNAcentral.
UAUAUUGCGAUGUCUAUUUUUGUCUAAAAUGGCUGACUAUCAUAUACUUGUAUGACAUAUUUGUGUGCUUUUAACCUGUUGCAUCAGAACCAGAAAAAACAAUCUUCCUGAUCUAGUUUAAUCCUGUAUAAAAGUUGACGUACGCGGUCACGAUUUACUCUCAAUUCAUUCUUCUUUUUUAUAGGUUUACAAGGAGAAUCAACAAGAUACAUUUAUAACUGAUAGUGAAGAAAAACAACCGCUUAAAACGCGCUUUAAGAUCAAGAUGAGUUCAACGAAAGUCAAAAGAUCAUCAGUGAAAUUGAUGCCUACCGAAGAAGCCACAUUCAACGAAGGUCUGCACUUACCGGUUGGGAGCUGUCAAACUCUUCGGAAACUUUCAACUGCAGCAGUGAAGUUCUCUCCGUCGGUUCAAAUCAUUGAACAUGAAGAUGAUAUAUACAACCUAGAUGAGGUCGAUUUAAACCCAUCCUUCGAAACCUUGAAGAAGCGCAGGCUGACUGCCUUCCAGUCACAGCUUGAGGAUUUCAAAAAAGUGGAGAUUGCCAAAUCAUCAGUGCGGAGAACCCUUGGUCGCUUAUCAAGUCUUCUUUGCGGUCUCUCGAUCUUGAUUACUUUAUUCACUAUAUUUGAUGUAGAAAUGAGCUACAAGUGCGGCAUGUCAUUCAGAACAGGAGAAAUGCUCAAUACGACAUGUUCUGCAAUCCUGGCGAUCAGAUCCCCCAUCUUCUUCAAAUCUCUCAUUUCACUGUGUUCGAUCGGGAUGUGCGUUGGUCUUUACGUUCACUAUCACUUCCAGUGUCAGUAUCUCAUCGUAGUGCAUCAGCUCCCUGUGAACUCGACAGUUCUGAGUUCCCCUCUCCGCAACAGUUUCCUGGCUGAACUGCUCCUCUGCUUCCUGCAUAUUCCACCAUUCCUUGAUAGAUUCCUUCCAACUGAGCUACAACUGAUAUCUGUUCUGCGUCUCUAUCUUACCGGGCGGUAUAUGAAAGAACAUAAUGCCACCAUGAGGAGUAGAUCGACCCGAUUCCUGGCAUCAGUGCUAAAAAUAGAACUGACAUCCAGCUAUCUUGUCAAGACAUUCUUUUUAAGACAUCCUUUGGUCAUGAUCGUCCUCUGCUAUCUGCUCAAUAUGUUUGGUUCUGGUUACCUAGUAUUUGCCAUGGAUCGGUACAACAACCCGCUUCAUCACAACACGUUCGAGGACACAUUAUGGAUGCAAGCAGUUACCAUGACAACGCUUGGUUUUGGUGAUGUGACUCCAGACUCUUUGUUAGGCAGAGCAGUGGUGGCCUUUUCAGCAGUCUGUGGUAUAUUCCUCAUGGCCCUCCUUAUCAGCGUCAUCCACGAAGGAUUGCAUCUUACUCAACAAGAAAAACGGAUAAUGGCAUACGUGGGAGAGAAUAGACCACAGCAAGCGAUAUAAAGAAAUGGCUGCUCGGUGUAUCCAGGCGACCUGGCGUUUGUAUCGUUGGCAUAGACACGACAAAGCUACCCUUACCAAGUUUCAGUUUUGCCUUUCAAAGCUUGGUCUCGUUCAUCCCAAAACACACCUCACCAACCAACUAUACGCGGCUCUGUUCCACUGGCGAGAGAUCAAAAAAAGCAAGACACCGGAUGAAACGUGGGUGAAGGAUUUUGUAGCCGACAAUACCGCUCUCAUGUUGACCGAUGUACUCAGGAAAAUGGAUAAUAUCGAGGACAUGUUGAUGGAUCCUUCAUCGGGGGAGAAACCGAAAGAAGAAUAUCAAGAUGAUGAUGAUGAUGAUGGUGGUGGUGGUGGGAACACCUUACAGGUCACCAAUGAUGAUGACGACGAACCAGUUAAAAAGACUGGAUCUGAAAUACACGACACAGUAGACGUCCCGUCUUCCCGUCAGAUACCAACUGCAUGGGCAGAACCAUCGCCUUGUCCGCACCCACCCUACCCGCUCCCACACCCUGUCAUCACUGUCCAAGGACCGGACGAACCAUCUGAAACAGCACAUCCUGGAGCAAUGGCCGGUUCAAAGACCACAUCCUCAGCGGUUCUUCGCCGCAUCACAGAAGCAGAACUGAAAGUUGACAAAAUGUAUCGGGAUAUGCGGAAAGAACUUUCAGAUAUAAAGACAUUCCUUCAAAGAGCAGAUGGUGUUGCGUUGAUGAUGAUAACGGUUGAUGUCUUUUACUUGGAUUCUAUAAUGUUAGCAUCACCAUGAAUUGACUUGUCGUCCGAUUGCAAUCUAUAUUGUGGACGAAUUGUAUCUGAAAAUUGUUUUAAAGCUUAUUCAGCUAAUGCAAGUAGGUCUGUUGGAUCUAGGUCUGAUAACACUGUCGUCUAAAACUCGCAUCCUGGAAUCAAAUGCAGUUGGCCCUACCUCUACAUCAGGAAUAGCAUAUGUAGUACUAAUCAACUGCGAGGAAUAAAAAUGAUCCGCUUGACAGUUGCUUCAACCACAAUAAAGAGAUUCGUAUUUCACGACGGUGCUUUUACGAUGAUGAAACUGACGAUUGGGGAUGAAGUAUCUGUGCUUACUACAACCCUGAGGUUUCGUCCGUCCUCAGCGUCGUGCUGAAUAUGACAGCAUGGCAUAGACAUUUGUUGCAUGAUACCUUUUUUCAAUAUGUCAAUGCGAGUACGUCAUUUCGUAACAAUCGAAACGAUUAAUUCGCUGGACGGAACACUAUAGGGCUCACAGGCCUAAUUCAUUUCCCAUAGACUCCUGUAUUAAAGUGGCACUCAAAAAUAAUUCAUACAAAAUAAGGAGGAAAUUCGAGGGUUGAAUGUUUACUACCAGUGGAUAGGAUAAAUGUCU